This 778-nucleotide long non-coding RNA is filed under the name Equus caballus (horse). RNAcentral describes it as "lncRNA (ENSECAG00000032722.3)". The record is from RNAcentral. Lineage: Eukaryota; Metazoa; Chordata; Mammalia; Perissodactyla; Equidae.
AAGGACUCGUUACAAGAGUGGUUUGAGUGAAGUCAGCUGAUCAAAACACUAGCUUGUUUCAUCCUAAGUUAUACUGUCUCAGAAGAGCCUCUUUGUUUCUACUUUGUACAUAGCAAGACUUAAUUUUACCCUCAUUUAUAAUUAAUUUUCUAAAACAAACCACCUUUGGAGUUGUUGCUUUGUUUGGCAUAUCCUGAAGAGUGUAAAGAUAGCAAUGUAUGUGAAUAGAUGUCACAUGUGCUUUCCAGAAAUAAGUUGGGGUGUGGCUGUGAAGUCACAGUUGAGCACUGACAUUGCCUCACUUCCUGCUCCUUGCUCUACUCUCCCUCUGGAGCUUUCGGCACACAGGGUCACCCCUGAUGCUGGUCAUCAUCAUUGCUAUGGGGAACGAAUAGCAUUUUGAUUUCUCAGCCCUGACUGCUAGGGUUUACUGAGUGUGAAUUCUAUAUGGAGCUGAGAUCUGUGAAUCAGCAACUAAGAGAAUCAAGCCUUUUGCAUUUGAUAAGAAUGGACAUGGUUUUCCUGAAGGUAUUCAAUCCACAUUGGAUGUUCUAGAUCAGUUCUCACAUAAGGCAGCCGUCAAACCCUGGCUUCCAGCCCCAGGCUGCAGAUGCUAACUGGGAAUCCAGCACGAAACUAUACAGAAGAAAGUUUCUGUUCUCUCUGCAAAAACCAUAAGGGGAAACCCUUGAUCAGGCGAGUAGAUCAUAUAACCAAAUCUACAAAACUAAUGACUGGAUUUUUUUUUUUUUUUUUUGUACACAAACUUUGAAAUAAA